Cucurbita maxima (winter squash) is the source of this 368-nucleotide long non-coding RNA. RefSeq lists it as uncharacterized. The transcript is spliced from 2 exons. The record is from RefSeq and is a predicted model, not a curated record. Lineage: Eukaryota; Viridiplantae; Streptophyta; Magnoliopsida; Cucurbitales; Cucurbitaceae.
UCACCAUCUUCCAAUCCCAUUCAUAAGUACUCCGUUCAUAUUUGGAAUUAACCGCUCAAAUUAGUCUUUCUUAAAAGAGUUGGAUAUCAGGUGCAUCACUGAUUUGGCCGGCCUUGAAAAUCAACAAAGAAACGAGGUUAAUCGAAGGAAAAUCCAAAGAAAUUAACGCAAAAAUCACGUCGUCUGGGAUUUGAAGCUCCGCUCGUAGGCGACUGGAAAAGUUGGCGCGCGCGUUGGGAGCCACGAGUACGAUACGCCUCAUCUAGCUGCGUGUGGAGUUACAUGAGCGCGUGGGUGACCCAUUUUCUUCCUAAUUUGACAUUUGCUCAAUAAUUUGACCGGUUCACUUAGUUUUAAACCGGUUCCCA